AUCAAUCGCCGCCGCCACCGCCGUCACUCCCCGCAUAUAAAAACACGAAGAAGAAAAUGAAAGAUCUGAAAUAGGCACACAUAUCUUUCCACUCCCUAUUCCCCUUCCGUGCAGGAAACCCUAGAUCAGAUUGUGGGCGACCGGGAAUGGCCCCGAAGAAGUCCAUCACCAAAGAAGAAGCGGAGAGAAUAUACAUGCUAUGUUGGAUCAGCUACGUGCCAGUUUCGGGUGAUAUCCGCAGGAUACCGCCGAGACGGAUUGUUCUAUACCCAGAUAUCUUUCAGACAGUGUGGGGUUGGGAUCGGCUCCUUCCACACGACAUUGAGUGCGAGGAGUUUUAUUUUGAUUACCUCCGCCAGUAUUACGAACGCAAUCGCCUGGACUACGUCGCGGCUGCCGACGGCCAGUCAAAGCCUCAGGACUGGCCGCUCAAAGCCCCACCAGAGGGUGUUCCCAAAUGCAUCCCGAAUGGGAAGCAUCCUCUCGCUGCUGCUGCCAAACACUGCCUGAAGAUGGAGGUGCGGUUCAUGUCAGUGUGGAAGGAUCGACCCAUACACAACGUCAAAGAACUGAGUGAAAAGAUCCAGGAGCGUGUCAGUCGCCUCAUCAUCCUGGGGCGAGAAUUCUCUGAACCUGCGGCCGCCAGCUUGGUGUGUAUCGCUAACGAGGCCUCUCUGGCUCGUGAGCUGCUGAGACGCGGGGCUAAAGCCAACGACAAGGAGAUCAACUUAUGCAACUGCAUCCGCCACUGUGCGCUGAGUCUUAUGUUCAUGUCAGGACCGCAUUCUGAGGCCUCCGCUGCUGCUAUGGUGGGCGUUGCCAAGGAGGCCAGGAAGAUCUGUGAGUGGAUGAAGAGUACGAAAGAGUGUUGUGUUUUUCGAUCUUACUCCAGAAUCCAUGAGUUGUGCCUUUGUGAUGAAAUCCGGGUUGCAACCUUUGAUGUUUUGAAGCACAUACUGUCGAAUUCUACAGGGGGCAAAGAGCCAUUUGUGCUUAUGGAUUUUGCAAUUAAGAGGAACAGGAGAAAGCACCAAAAUACCAUGGAAGGAACUUCAGAUGAAUCUUUAUUACAUGAACCACGUCAUGAAGGGAAGAGCGUCCUUGGCCUGGGUGACAACAAUGGGGAAUUCGAUGCUCGGAUGAUUGCUCCUCAAAUGGAUCUUCUUAGAGAACAGACCAACGGUCUAGCAAAUUCGAGAAGGGAAAGUGAUAAUUCUGCAGUUGAAAGAGCCCAUCACCUGAAACCAAUUCUUGGUAUCCGAGAACACCUGUCAGAAAAAGAAAACCAGGUUCUUGCACCAGAGGAGCAGAUUGAACAGGAACAAUGUUAUGAAGGGAAGAACCUUGAGCUGGGUGACAACAAUGGGAAAUUGGAUGCUCUGAUGAUUGAUCAUGAAACAGAUCUUCUUAGAGAACAGAAGACCAAGGGUCUAGCAAAUUCCAGAAGGGAAAGUGAUAAUUCUGAAGUUGAAAGAGCCCAUCACAUUAAACCAGUUCUUGGUAUCCGAGAACACCUGUCAGAAAAAGACAACCAGGGUGAGAAAGGUAUAGUUGGCAAGCAAUCUGUGGAGCAGGUAUCUAGUACUCAGAGGAAAGCUUCAUAUUGUACCAUAUCAACUACCCAGAACCACUUGAACAGUAUUUCAGUUGGGUACAAGCCUAAUAUUGUGAAUCAGGCUGACAUGCUUACACCGGACUGUGGUCAGCGCAUACCAAAGCACCCUGCCCUUCUAGACAAGAGAUCUCUUCUUGCAUGCAUUGCUCGUGCAGUUUCUGCUAGUCACAAUAACCAAACCAAGAUUAGUUCAACUCUGCCAAAUAGGCUUGGAAAAAUGUUGGCCCCUCUUCAUUGGCGUGACUAUCGGAAGGAUUAUGGGAAACUAGAUGAUUUUUUGGCUGAGCAUCAAGAGGUUUAUUUCUCUAAUAAUUGCAAUUUAGUCGCUCUAUGUACAAUGUACGAUACCUGUUACGGAUAUACCUAUCACUACUGCAGCUCUUUGUGAUUGAAGGAGACUUUGUUCACCUUCGUGAAGAAGCAGAACAUAUUACAAGAGCUCUUCUGCUCCAUACUAGUUGAAUCUUAUGGCUUCUUUAAGUGGUGUAGUGGGGAUCAACAGUCUCUCUGCUGCUUUUUGUUCCUAUUUUUGAUUGAGUUUUAGAUGUCGGUUCUUAUCUGUGAUCAAAUGUUGAAUGCAUAGUACUCAAGUCAUAUGAAGGAGGUGAAGGUGAGCCGGAACAAGGGAGCUACUGUUGACUGCAUCUUUGUUAUGUUAAAUCAGUGCUUUGGUAGUCAAAUUUGUUAUUUUGGUGCAAUGUAUGUCCAUGUCAAGAGGCAUACUGAGUUUGUGCUUGAUGAUUAUCAGUUCUCGCAUCUUUCAUAUCCUUUGCACCUGUCUUGUGCCAUGUUGCACUCACAACACACCUAAUGUAUGUGAGGUUUAUGCUUCGUUGUC
This is an RNA transcript of Aegilops tauschii subsp. strangulata, 2453 nucleotides long. RefSeq lists it as uncharacterized. The record is from RefSeq and is a predicted model, not a curated record. NCBI's taxonomy places the organism in Eukaryota, Viridiplantae, Streptophyta, Magnoliopsida, Poales, Poaceae.